Molecule: ribosomal RNA, 556 nt
Filed under: uncultured bacterium
Lineage: Bacteria
Description: bacterial SSU rRNA
Rfam family: Bacterial small subunit ribosomal RNA
Source: RNAcentral
CCUGCCUGGUAGCGGGGGAUAACUAUUGGAAACGAUAGCUAAUACCGCAUAAUAUCUUUGAUUGCAUGAUUGAAGUUUGAAAGAUGCAACUGCAUCACUACCAGAUGGACCUGCGUUGUAUUANCUAGUAGGUGAGGUAAAGGCUCGCCUAGGCGACGAUACAUAGCCGACCUGAGAGGGUGAACGGCCACCCUGGGACUGAGACACGGCCCAGACUCCUACGGGAGGNAGCAGUAGGGAAUCUUCGGCAAAGGGGGCAACCCUGNCCGAGCAACGCCGCGUGAGUGAAGAAGGUUUUCGGAUCGUAAAGCUCUGUUGUAAGAGAAAAACGUGUGUGAGAGUGGAAAGUUCACACNGUGACGGUAACUUACCAGAAAGGGACGGCUAACUACGUGCCAGCAGCCGCGGUAAUACGUAGGUCCCGAGCGUUAUCCGGAUUUAUUGGGCGUAAUGCGAGCGCAGGCGGUUGGAUAAGUCUGAAGUUAAAGGCUGUGGCUCAACCAUAGUAUGCUUUGGAAACUGUUCAACUUGAGUGCAGAAGGGGAGAGUGGAAUUC